Molecule: ribosomal RNA, 167 nt
Filed under: Romboutsia lituseburensis DSM 797
Lineage: Bacteria; Bacillati; Bacillota; Clostridia; Peptostreptococcales; Peptostreptococcaceae
Description: 23S rRNA. Bacterial LSU
Rfam family: Bacterial large subunit ribosomal RNA
Source: RNAcentral
UACGGAAUGGAUAAGCGCUGAAAGCAUCUAAGCGCGAAGCCAACUUCAAGAUAAGAUUUCCCACCGUAAGGGUAAGACCCCAGGAAGACUACCUGGUUGAUAGGUCGAAGGUGUAAGUGCAGUAAUGUAUUUAGCUUAUCGAUACUAAUAGGUCGAGGACUUGACCA